This 468-nucleotide ribosomal RNA is filed under the name uncultured bacterium. Its description in RNAcentral is "partial 16S ribosomal RNA". It matches the Rfam family "Bacterial small subunit ribosomal RNA", at positions 28 to 507 of the family's 1533-position model. The record is from RNAcentral.
GACGAACGCUGGCGGCGUGCUUAACACAUGCAAGUCGAACGGAAAGGCUCUGCUUUUUUUGUUUGCUCGAGUGGCGAACGUGUGUGUAACACGUGAGUGACCUUCCCUUGACGUUGAGAUAACUUCUGCAAACUGGUGCUAAUACCGAAUAACUGCUCCUGCUGCAUAGUAGGGGUUGUAAACUUUCGGCGGUUGGGGAUGGACUCGUGGCUUAUCAGCUUGUUGGGUCGGUAGUGGAUUACCAAGGCUUUGACGGGUAGCCGGCCUGAGAGGGUGACCGGCCACAUUGGGACUGAGCUAAGGCACAGACUACUACGGGAGGCAGCAGAGGGGAAUAGUGCACAAUGGGAGGAAGCCUGAUGCAACACCGCCGCGUGCGGGAUGACGGCCUUCGUGUUGUAAACCGCAUUCGCAUGUGAAGAAGAGUAAGUGACGGUAAUGGGUAAAGAAGCACCGGCUAACUACGUG